UUUCAAUACUACUUGAUACUGGGUUAUUUUGGUGUGUACUAAAUACACAGCCCUAUCAGGCACUGUGUCUAUUUGUACUUUGUCCCAUGCACUGUUAAUUCUACAUGUAGUUUUAUUUAAAUAAACCUGCAUUGUGUCCCUGUUCCAGGACCUGCGAGUGGCUCUGGGGGAGAAGGAGCGACUGCUGAAGGAGGUGGGGAAAGAGAGGGAGGUGUGGAGACAGAGGGACCGGGCCCUUGCGUCUGUCCUGCAGGAGAAGGAGGCUCUAAUCCAGGAGCUGCAGAGCGGUCACAAAGCUGUGCAGGUGUGUACAAGAGUGUAAUUUCUGCCUCUGGGGUUGGGGUGGUGGUAUGGCUCCCUUACUUUUCAAAGGGAUAUAAAAUUACAUAAGUGUCCAUUUAAAAAAUGUUUGUUAUUGAAUAAGGGAAGCUGUUACUCACAACAUGUCCUUUACCUCCAGGCUCUCUCUGACUCUGUGACUGGUCAGGGGUUGGACUGGUGAGGGAAAUGGCGCCACCUUGUGCAAGGAGGUCACCAAACUCACCACAGCCCUGCAGGAGUACCAGGACAUGGUGCAGAAUCAGCAGGAGAGUCACAGUCAGACGGUGUCCUCUCUGACGGAUCAACUCAGAAACACUCUGCGGGAGCUGCGGGAGACAGAGAAGCAGAAGAAGGAGGCCGAUAGAUCCUGGCAGAACAGCAGAGAGGACCGAGAGAGAGAGGAGAGGAAACUGAGGGACAGCCUGGAGAAGAGAGACAAACUCAUAGAGCAAAUCCUGUUGGAUGCUGAGGAGCAGGACCAUCUGUUCAGAGAGCUGCAGCAGAACCUGCAGAACAAACGUGAACCUCUGACCGCCAUCAAACACACACUGUGAUCCAGGACGACUACUGUACUGACGAGAUGCAAGCUAAUUGCUAAUUGCACAGAGACGGAAGAUUACUUUUGCACUUUCUGCACCACCUUUUUGCCUCUCUAGCAUAUUUAUCGUGGUGUACAUUAAGUCCUAUUUAUAUUUAUCUUUCUACAUUUUUGAGGUUUGCAUUUGCAGACCUGGCAAUUUUUCCACAAUUGCUACUUGACUGACUCUCGAGAGUGAAUCAGUCAUUUCAGACUUAAGAGAGUCGGACUGAUUGUUUUCAGUUAGGAGAGAUGUCAAGUCCAGCUUUUUAUAGCUGGAUGUUUAAUACUUGAUUUUAAAGAAAUCCCCAGAUUACUGUAUUUAGUUAAUUGUUGAAUGUAAUGGGUCUAAUGGUCAGGCAGUGAUUAGAUUUCAUGCAGUGGGUUUGUUGAUGCAAACCUUUCUGAACGGUAUGAUUGUUAGUGGAUCGGAGUAACAUUUAUUAUGUCCUUUAGGACAUUAGCAGGUACAAUAUUGCUUUAAAUUCCGAAUUAACCUCCCUAUGAAGCUUUUUCUAGUGUCUUUUAUUGUGUUUGUCUCUUCACCUUUUCGGUACAGCGGAACUGUCAUUAUUUUGUUUACAGUGCAAGCUUAGCACUUGUGGAGGGGAAUAGAUGGGACCAAAAUAAUAUUUUUAACAGCUUUCAUUUUCUAUUUUUAUAGCCUGCGGCUUAUUUUUUUGUUUCAUUCAUGUAUCUUCUAUGUUUACAUGUAUUGCUACUCUGGGACUUAUUACUGGAGACAUUUUCUUUCUUUUAACUCAAGAGAAUUAAACACUCUGAUCCAAAUGACUGAUGUCUACAGAUGCUGUUAUUCAUGCAUGCCUGGGGAUGUUGCUGGUUCAGAAGUGUUUUUUUCCAAAUUCUGUAUUCCCAUUAGAAAAGUUUUAUUUGAAUGAUUUAUUAAAUGUUAAUUGCCAUAUAAACACAAGACUCUCUCAGAUAUUUUGAGGAUCAUAUAUGUUUGUUACGACCAUCAUUUCAAAUGAACCUGAACAU
Molecule: long non-coding RNA, 1897 nt
Organism: Cottoperca gobio
Lineage: Eukaryota; Metazoa; Chordata; Actinopteri; Perciformes; Bovichtidae
Source: Ensembl